CAGGGGGUGCUUGCACCCCGCUGACGAGCGGCGGACGGGUGAGUAAUGCAUAGGAAAUUGCCCAGUAGUGGGGGAUAGCCCGGGGAAACCCGGAUUAAUACCGCAUACGUCCUUCGGGAGAAAGCAGGGGAUCUUCGGACCUUGCGCUAUUGGAUGUGCCUAUGUCGGAUUAGCUAGUUGGUGGGGUAAAGGCCUACCAAGGCGACGAUCCGUAGCUGGUCUGAGAGGAUGAUCAGCCACAUCGGGACUGAGACACGGCCCGAACUCCUACGGGAGGCAGCAGUGGGGAAUAUUGGACAAUGGGGGCAACCCUGAUCCAGCCAUGCCGCGUGUGUGAAGAAGGCUUUCGGGUUGUAAAGCACUUUCAGUGAGGAGGAAAACCUUAUGGUUAAUACCCAUGAGGCUUGACGUUACUCACAGAAGAAGCACCGGCUAACUCCGUGCCAGCAGCCGCGGUAAUACGGAGGGUGCAAGCGUUAAUCGGAAUUACUGGGCGUAAAGCGCGCGUAGGUGGUUUGAUAAGCGAGAUGUGAAAGCCCCGGGCUUAACUUGGGAACGGCAUUUCGAACUGUCAGGCUAGAGUAUGGUAGAGGGUAGUGGAAUUUCCUGUGUAGCGGUGAAAUGCGUAGAUAUAGGAAGGA
This 641-nucleotide ribosomal RNA is filed under the name Marinobacter sp. HOT5C4. RNAcentral's name for it is "bacterial SSU rRNA". It matches the Rfam family "Bacterial small subunit ribosomal RNA", at positions 70 to 705 of the family's 1533-position model. The record is from RNAcentral. Lineage: Bacteria; Pseudomonadati; Pseudomonadota; Gammaproteobacteria; Pseudomonadales; Marinobacteraceae.